GUCAAUAUACAGCGGUACGCAUGUGAUAAAUUCCGAAUGCCGUGAUCAUGUCUUGGAAUAUUUUUGACACGAACUGAGUGAAUCACCUCAGACCACUUCCUGCAUCGCUGGUGAUAGCGGAUAACGACGAUCCUUAAACGGUACUGCGACCUCCACCUACUGGAUAUGGUGCUGUUCUGCUGCAGUAGUUCCUAGCCCGGCUUCUUCGUCCCAAGCUUCUACCUCCGUUCCUUGUCUUCUAUCUUCCGCAUAGUGGCUGAUCUGGGACAUCUUGACUUCAGCUACUUGGGCGUGACUGGAUUCGCUGUUUUCGUCGCCUAGAACUGCUGGAGACAACUCAAAAGAUCUCCAGAAAUCGAUCCCCAAGUAC
Molecule: long non-coding RNA, 370 nt
Organism: Drosophila gunungcola (fruit fly)
Lineage: Eukaryota; Metazoa; Arthropoda; Insecta; Diptera; Drosophilidae
Exons: 3
Source: RefSeq, a predicted model, not a curated record